UACGAAGGGGGCUAGCGUUGUUCGGAAUUACUGGGCGUAAAGCGCACGUAGGCGGUUUGCUAAGUCAGGGGUGAAAUCCUGGAGCUCAACUCCAGAACUGCCUUUGAUACUGCAAAUCUCGAGUCCGGAAGAGGUGAGUGGAAUUCCUAGUGUAGAGGUGAAAUUCGUAGAUAUUAGGAAGAACACCAGUGGCGAAGGCGGCUCACUGGUCCGGUACUGACGCUGAGGUGCGAAAGCGUGGGGAGCAAACAGG
Molecule: ribosomal RNA, 253 nt
Filed under: uncultured bacterium
Lineage: Bacteria
Description: partial 16S ribosomal RNA
Rfam family: Bacterial small subunit ribosomal RNA
Source: RNAcentral